GUGGGGAAUUUUGGACAAUGGGCGCAAGCCUGAUCCAGCCAUGCCGCGUGCAGGAUGAAGGCCUUCGGGUUGUAAACUGCUUUUGUACGGAACGAAAAGACUCUGGUUAAUACCUGGGGUUCAUGACGGUACCGUAAGAAUAAGCACCGGCUAACUACGUGCCAGCAGCCGCGGUAAUACGUAGGGUGCGAGCGUUAAUCGGAAUUACUGGGCGUAAAGCGUGCGCAGGCGGUUAUAUAAGACAGAUGUGAAAUCCCCGGGCUCAACCUGGGAACUGCAUUUGUGACUGUAUGGCUAGAGUACGGCAGAGGGGGAUGGAAUUCCGCGUGUAGCAGUGAAAUGCGUAGAUAUGCGGAGGAACACCGAUGGCGAAGGCGGCUCACUGGCUCGAUACUGACGCUGAGGUGCGAAAGCGUGGGGAGCAAACAGGAUUAGAAACCCGAGUAGUCC
RNAcentral lists this ribosomal RNA (450 nucleotides) under uncultured bacterium. Its description in RNAcentral is "partial 16S ribosomal RNA". It matches the Rfam family "Bacterial small subunit ribosomal RNA", at positions 354 to 796 of the family's 1533-position model. The record is from RNAcentral.